Tripterygium wilfordii is the source of this 270-nucleotide long non-coding RNA. RefSeq lists it as uncharacterized. The transcript has 2 exons. The record is from RefSeq and is a predicted model, not a curated record. NCBI's taxonomy places the organism in Eukaryota, Viridiplantae, Streptophyta, Magnoliopsida, Celastrales, Celastraceae.
AGUGGCAAACCAACUCUGUAAGGAAGAAAACAGAGGCUUACGCUGGAGAUCAACAAGGUUGAAUGAGCUAAAGUACCUAAGAAGUAUAAUAAAACUCCUAGUUGUCCAAUUCUCCCCCAAACCAGUAACAGACACAUUACGGAAAUCAUAAAGAAAUUUCGUAAGUCUUAAAAACAAAUCUCUAAUUCCUUCAAUUGUGGAUCUCUUCCAGUCAUAACAAAGAUAGUAUAAACCAUUUCAUCGAUCACGUUCGUUCUAUUUCCAUUUUUU